Molecule: non-coding RNA, 368 nt
Organism: Callorhinus ursinus (northern fur seal)
Lineage: Eukaryota; Metazoa; Chordata; Mammalia; Carnivora; Otariidae
Source: RefSeq, a predicted model, not a curated record
GGCUCUGCUCUCAGCUCUGCCACCGCCUGGUUGUCUCGUCUUAGAGAAAUCAUUUACCUUUCCGGCCUCCCGUUCCCUCCUGUGUAAAAUGUGUGAGUCUCACAUCGCUGUGGUGUCGCCGCGGGUGUCGGACUGAUUAAAUCCUGAGUAUGGAGAGCCCCUCCUAGCUCGCAUGGUGUGUCUGUCUUGUGCAACAGGACCUGAGGUUUUCGCGCCUCAGGAGAACAUGUUGUAUGCAACUAGAGAAGAGUUGCUGUGAUUGGCUGAUAAAUAUUUGUCAAAGAAAGAGAGAACUGAAAGCUCGCACAGUGUGGCUUGGAUAUCCUGAAAAGUGUGAAGAAAAGCAUCCCAGAAAUUCUAUAAAAAAU